Astatotilapia calliptera (eastern happy) is the source of this 1617-nucleotide long non-coding RNA. The record is from Ensembl. NCBI's taxonomy places the organism in Eukaryota, Metazoa, Chordata, Actinopteri, Cichliformes, Cichlidae.
CUUGACUGGAGGUGCCAGGUGUGCCAAUGUAGCAUUAACCUCUGAUCUUUGACCUUUUGGGCUCUGAUGUAUUUAUGUAAAAAGUGGUUAAUUUAAUCAAAUAUAGUAUAUUAUGAAUUAUUAUUAUUAUUUUGGAUCUGAGUAUUUUUCUAUCUAAGUGAGAGACACCUGGUUGACUGGAAUAGAGGCUGACUACACAGCGUAGUUGCAGAGGAACUGUUCAAAGUCUUUUAUUUUUAUUUCAUUUCUUGUUUUCUUUUUUGUUUUCUUUUUGCACAUUAAGUCUUCAGCUUCAGCAAACUCAAUGCAUGUCUUUUGGUUUACUUUCACUGUUGGUUUGGUCAGCUUAGGUUCACGAGUCUCCAGUUUACUGAAGUGCAGUAUUAACAGACUUGAGUGUGGGGGGGAAAAUGAGCCUUAGAUUGAGAGAACAACCUUUAGAACGAUUGACUUUGGCAGAAUAUUUAGGAACUGAAGGUCUUUGUACUGUGUCAUAUACUAAAAAGUGGUUUUUAAUUGAACAUCUUAAGUACUUCUGUCUCACCAAGUUGUGUUGUAACAUUCAUAAUGACUUAUGGACUAACUCCCUAAUGUAUUUACACUCAAUGUUCUGUACUGUAACAUAUUUAUGCAUACAUUAAGUGGCGCUGAACCCUGUCAGUAUAUGAUGAAUAGUGCCAGGUAGUUAGUGUAAACCAUUUGAUGGCAAGAAAAACAAACAUUGAUGCUCUUUAGCUGUACUGUUUGGUAGUUGAUGAUUAGAGGGACUUUCGUGUACUUGUAGCCAACAUGUCCUCCAUAUUCAUCGUUUUCCCACUUGUUUCAGGUCUUCACAGGGCUGUCAUUUAUAUAUGAAUAUGAAUAUCACACACACACACUCUUUCCCUCUUCUGUUUCGACGGCAGCGCAUUAUAGGCACAGAUUAAGUGUAGUGUUUAGUGUGGAUAAUCUGAACACAUCUAUGCAAACUUUGCUUCAUCAUGACUGUUGGCGUGUGUCUAUGUGGUGACAGCAGCACUGAUUUUACCUCGUGCUGAUCUGAGUGGUGCCGUCAGGGGGUGGGGGAAAGGAUUUUGUGCUUCACCACAUGUUUUUUUUUUGUUUUUUGUUUGUUUUUUUCCUUUCCUUUAACACUUUCAGGCCCGCGGAUUAUGGUAUUUAUGAGCAAUAUGUCCUCGCAGCUCACAUCUGGAUGAUGGUGUCGUUUGUCUUUGUUCAGGGAGCUGGAGGUGACGUGAUGAUCAAAUGAAUCUGACACUAGCUGCUCUUUGCUCUGCUCUGCAAUAGUGACAAAGCCUAUUUGUAUCAAGUCCUUUGUGCAUUUCUCCAUUGACCCUGAAGCUGUAAUUCUUAAGUACAUUUCAUUGGGAAUAACUCAACUGAUGCAAACAUUUCAAAAAAGGAAAAUGUCUCAGCUGUGUGGGUUUUUUUUUUUUUCUUUCCUAUGCCGUUACGUCUUUAGUGUCUUUAAGUUUACAUGUCACUCUCUUCUCUGGCGAAAGUGAAAUAAAAUCAUAGCUAAUUGAAUUCAUUCCUUCAGAUCUGCAACUGUUGUAUUUAUAAUUAAUGAUGAUAAUGACAUUUGUGAUGAGUAAUAAACCAUAAUAUAUUAAAUCA